AGAGUUUGAUCAUGGCUCAGAAUCAACGCUGGCGGCGCGCUUAACACAUGCAAGUCGCACGAGAAAGUGGAGCAAUCCAUGAGUAAAGUGGCGUACGGGUGAGUAACACGUGGAUCAUCUACCUUUUAGUGGGGAAUACCCCCGGGAAACUGGGGACAAUACCGCAUAAGCUCGUAAGAGGAAAGCCGAAAGGCGCUGAAAGAGGAGUCCGCGGCUGAUUAGCUAGUUGGCGGGGUAACGGCCCACCAAGGCGAAGAUCGGUAGCCGGCCUGAGAGGGCACACGGCCACACUGGCACUGAAACACGGGCCAGACUCCUACGGGAGGCAGCAGUGGGGAAUCUUGCACAAUGGAGGAAACUCUGAUGCAGCGACGCCGCGUGAGCGAUGAAGCCCCUCGGGGUGUAAAGCUCUUUCGACGGGAAAGAUAAUGACGGUACCCGAAGAAGAAGCUGCGGCUAACUACGUGCCAGCAGCCGCGGUA
Molecule: ribosomal RNA, 482 nt
Filed under: uncultured Acidobacteriota bacterium
Lineage: Bacteria; Pseudomonadati; Acidobacteriota
Description: bacterial SSU rRNA
Rfam family: Bacterial small subunit ribosomal RNA
Source: RNAcentral